RNAcentral lists this microRNA precursor (104 nucleotides) under Marmota monax (woodchuck). Lineage: Eukaryota; Metazoa; Chordata; Mammalia; Rodentia; Sciuridae. The record is from RNAcentral.
AGUGGAAUAACUGGAUCAAAUGGUAGUUCCAUUCCAAGUUUUCUGAAGGAAUAUCCAUGCUUUUUUCCAGACUGGUUGCAUCAAUUUGCAGUCCCACCAGCAAU